UGAAACCUGGGGAAUGCUUAGUCCCAAAGCUGCGGACCCCAGCACAUGGGACCACACUACCUGAAUUUAAGACUGUAUUCACCACGUGGAGAACCUACAGCCUAGACCGGCAACAGGGUACAUCUACAGGAAACCCAGCUCGUCUGGGGUGUGACUCAGGAAACC
Long non-coding RNA from Grammomys surdaster, 165 nucleotides. RefSeq lists it as uncharacterized. NCBI's taxonomy places the organism in Eukaryota, Metazoa, Chordata, Mammalia, Rodentia, Muridae. The transcript has 3 exons. The record is from RefSeq and is a predicted model, not a curated record.